This 174-nucleotide small RNA is filed under the name Streptomyces griseoaurantiacus. RNAcentral describes it as "c-di-AMP sequence". It matches the Rfam family "c-di-AMP riboswitch aptamer (ydaO/yuaA leader)". Rfam says of the family: This family represents a conserved RNA structure found upstream of the ydaO and yuaA genes in Bacillus subtilis and related genes in other bacteria. The ydaO/yuaA element is thought to act as a genetic "off" switch for the ydaO and yuaA genes in its native state. The record is from RNAcentral. Lineage: Bacteria; Bacillati; Actinomycetota; Actinomycetes; Kitasatosporales; Streptomycetaceae.
GCGCGGCCUCCGCCGAAUCCGGCCCGCCCCCGCGGGCAGCCGGAACCGGGGACCCAACCGAGACCUGGGGUGAAUCGGCCCACCGCCCCGCGCGCACGGGCCGUAGGGCAGUCCUUCCGGAACCAUCCGCCCGAAUCCGACAGCUAACCCGGUAGGCGGCGUACGGAAGGAGUC